CGGGUGCACUGAUCCAGCCGGGCCUCUCCCUCUGUGGAACCCCAUGGCCUUCACUGGCUGUGGUGGGGAAACAGGACUUUUACUUUGAAAAAAUUAGAGUGCUCCAGGCAGGCCUAUGCUCGAAUACAUUAGCAUGGAAUAAUAGAAUAGGACGUGUGGUUCUAUUUUGUUGGUUUCUAGGACCGCCGUAAUGAUUAAUAGGGACAGUCGGGGGCAUCAGUAUUCAAUUGUCAGAGGUGAAAUUCUUGGAUCUAUUGAAGACUAACUACUGCGAAAGCAUUUGCCAAGGAUGUUUUCAUUGAUAAGGAACGAAAGUUAGGGGAUCGAAGACGAUCAGAUACCGUCGUAGUCUUAACUAUAAACUAUGCCGACUAGGGAUCGGACGAUGUUAUUCUUUGACGCGUUCGGCACCUUUCGAGAAAUCAAAGUGCUUGGGCUCCAGGGGGAGUAUGGUCGCAAGGCUGAAACUUAAAGAAAUUGACGGAAGGGCACCACCAGGGGUGGAGCCUGCGGCUUAAUUUGACUCAACACGGGGAAACUCACCAGGUCCAGACACAGUGAGGAUUGACAGAUUGAGAGCUCUUUCUUGAUUCUGUGGGUGGUGGUGCAUGGCCGUUCUUAGUUGGUGGAGUGAUUUGUCUGCUUAAUUGCGAUAACGAACGAGACCUUAACCUGCUAAAUAGCCCGUACUGCUUUGGCGGUUCGCCGGCUUCUUAGAGGGACUAUCGG
This 729-nucleotide ribosomal RNA is filed under the name uncultured eukaryote. RNAcentral describes it as "SSU rRNA". It matches the Rfam family "Eukaryotic small subunit ribosomal RNA", at positions 670 to 1426 of the family's 1831-position model. The record is from RNAcentral.